Molecule: long non-coding RNA, 423 nt
Organism: Cyprinodon tularosa
Lineage: Eukaryota; Metazoa; Chordata; Actinopteri; Cyprinodontiformes; Cyprinodontidae
Exons: 2
Source: RefSeq, a predicted model, not a curated record
ACCUGGUUGUUGUUAUAAUUACACAAAAUGUCUUCUUUUUUUGGUUGUUUGUAUUGUUCUCUACCUGACCGAAAAGCUGUCAUUGUUUUGAACGUGUUAGUUUAAGAACGGUAGCCCCUCCUUUUUUUAUUUCUUCUUUUAUGGUUUUGUCUUUAAAAUGUUUGCGUCCCUUAGGCCCUCCCCUUUUGUCAUGUUGUCCUGCGGGAGAGGACUUGGAGCGGGCAGCUUGUAAAACGAUUGCUUUUCUCUUUAAUGUUUUCGUCAGGUAUGUUGUGUAAAGAAGGUUUAUUUUGUUUAAUGUUGUGAGACAUGAUCCGCCCUUUUGUCAUGUUGUCCUGCGGGAGAGGACUUGGAGCGGGCAGCUUGUAAAACGAUUGCUUUUCUCUUUAAUGUUUUCGUCAGAAUAAAUCGAAGAAAGCCAAA